ACGGCUUAGCGGAACCUUUGUUGUUGUUGCUUGUUGUUUUUCUGGAAGGCACGCGCCUUUUUUCGUCUUUUCACUUGCGUUUACUUUAGUGAAGGAGUUAGAAGUUGAAGCAAAAAUACCAGCAAUUUACUAAAUUAAAUUAAAUUAGUGCCUUAAAAGUGAAAAAGAAACGAUUCCCAGACAAGGCUGAAGGUAAAUCUAUAAACAAAUGGAAGGCUAAAUCGUUCCAUCUUAAGCAUAUUAUCCGAGGAACUUGUUCUGUCCCACAACUUACUUAUUAAAUGCAAUCGCCCUGGUCGAUCCCUCGGAGCCUCCCGAAAAGGCGC
Drosophila suzukii is the source of this 326-nucleotide non-coding RNA. NCBI's taxonomy places the organism in Eukaryota, Metazoa, Arthropoda, Insecta, Diptera, Drosophilidae. The record is from RefSeq and is a predicted model, not a curated record.